The submitters of this non-coding RNA (89 nucleotides) gave its source as unclassified sequences. The record is from Rfam.
GGUGCGUGUCCUUAAUAGAAAAUGCAGUGACCGGAUUGUCACAUAAGAAGCAUGAGGUUGAAAAGCGGAUGCAAUUUCCGACGCGUACC